CUGUUUAUUACAAAAACAAUGCCAAACGUUUUAAGGUGAAACAGAGGUUGAUGCUAAAAUCUGUUGAUGAUAUUUCAACACAGAAAUGAGAAAUUGUAAGUCUCUAUACUGUCGGCUGCUAUACUAGCUUGUGCUUUGCUAGCAGUAAAUGUAAAUUAUCUCUUUCAAACUCUCCCGACUCCACUAGGGAGAAGGGUGUUAUGUAUGGAUGGAUGGACGGACGGAUGGAUGGAUUGAACUCUCCCAUGCUUGUGUUUAAACUUGUGUAAAACAUAACUUGGUAGUGAAACGGCGCCAUCUGCUGUCGCUAGUAGCUACUGUAGCUGUGGGUCUGCGCCGUUGCACAGGACUGCUGCAAAAGAGAACUACCAGCAGAACAUCCUACCCACCAGGUUGGGAGUCCUCAUGGAGAACGCAGAGUGUGGUGACCUGGGUAGCAAUGCUGCAAAAAAAAACCCCCGAAGACAGCAACAUUAAAGGCACAAGUGGACAUUGCAGUGCAAGAAAAUCUGUGUGUGGUUGGUGAAGGUGAACAUCCUGAAGGAGAAACGAGACACAGUGGAGACACC
Gambusia affinis (western mosquitofish) is the source of this 569-nucleotide long non-coding RNA. RefSeq lists it as uncharacterized. The record is from RefSeq and is a predicted model, not a curated record. The transcript is spliced from 4 exons. NCBI's taxonomy places the organism in Eukaryota, Metazoa, Chordata, Actinopteri, Cyprinodontiformes, Poeciliidae.